This 253-nucleotide ribosomal RNA is filed under the name uncultured bacterium. RNAcentral describes it as "partial 16S ribosomal RNA". It matches the Rfam family "Bacterial small subunit ribosomal RNA", at positions 524 to 776 of the family's 1533-position model. The record is from RNAcentral.
UACGUAGGGUGCAAGCGUUGUCCGGAAUUAUUGGGCGUAAAGAGCUCGCAGGCGGUUCGUCGCGUCGGCUGUGAAAACCCGGAGCUCAACUCCGGGCCUGCAGUCGAUACGGGCGGACUUGAGUGUUGCAGGGGAGACUGGAAUUCCUGGUGUAGCGGUGAAAUGCGCAGAUAUCAGGAGGAACACCGGUGGCGAAGGCGGGUCUCUGGGCAACUACUGACGCUGAGGAGCGAAAGCGUGGGGAGCGAACAGG